Molecule: ribosomal RNA, 2190 nt
Filed under: Triticum aestivum (bread wheat)
Lineage: Eukaryota; Viridiplantae; Streptophyta; Magnoliopsida; Poales; Poaceae
Description: partial small subunit ribosomal RNA
Source: RNAcentral
AUGGAUUCCAGAACAGCGAUCUGCGGCGCUCUGCUGCUACUGGUGACAUUGCUGCCUCUUUCAGCCACCGCGUCGAGCAAGCUCUACAUUGUGUAUAUGGGGGAGAAGAAGCACGAUGACCCGUCCGUAGUCAUCGCGUCGCACCAUGACAUCCUAACAUCCGUUUUUGUGAGCAAGGAUGAAGCCAUGAGGUCGAUAGUUUACAGUUACAAGCAUGGAUUUUCUGGGUUCGCGGCUAUGCUCACAAAAUCUCAAGCUGUCGCAAUCGCAAAAUUUCCUGAAGUUGUCUCUGUGAAGCCUAAUAUUUUUCACAAAACGCACACAACUCGGAGCUGGGAUUUCCUUGGGCUUGACUAUAAUCAACUGCCACAACAACCGGGGCUCCUCAAAAGAGCAAAGUAUGGUGAAGAUGUCAUUGUGGGUGUGAUCGAUACAGGUAUAUGGCCUGAAUCACGAAGCUUUGAUGACAAUGGCUAUGGCCCCGUGCCAGCACGGUGGAAAGGAAAAUGCCACAGUGGCGAGAAGUUCAACGCCACUGGUUGCAACAGAAAGAUCAUCGGUGCGCGGUGGUAUGGCCGUGGCAUCAGCGCCGAGUCACUAAAGAGCGACUAUAAGUCACCUAGGGACCUCAACGGCCAUGGCACACACGUCGCUUCAACUAUCGCCGGUGGGGAAGUGCAGGGCGUGAGCUAUGGAGGCCUAGGCAUGGGCGUGGCACGUGGUGGAGCACCACGUGCACGACUUGGUAUCUACAAGGUGUGCUGGGUGGAUGAGGGUUGCCCUGACGCGGCGGUCCUUGCUGCCAUCGACGACGCCAUACAUGAUGGGGUUGAUGUCUUGUCGCUCUCUGUUGGAGGGGUUGGUCAGGAGUACUCUGGGACGUUGCAUGCUGUGCAAAGAGGGAUCUCUGUCGUGUUCGCCGGAGGGAAUGAUGGCCCUGUGCCACAGACGGUGACGAAUGCCAUGCCGUGGGUUACGACGGUGGCCGCUAGCACGAUUGACCGGUCUUUUCCAACCUUGAUAUCGCUUGGGAACAAAGAAAAGCUGGUGCACGAAAGUGACGUUCAAACCAACCCUGGAAAAAUAAAUGGUUUAUGCGACCCGGAAUCACUGGCCUUGGGCAAUGUCACGGGCAAAACCGUCCUUUGUUAUGCACCAGAAGAGGCAUCGCGGUGGUCGCCCCAGUUAAUACUCCCUUAUGCCAUCAAUUAUACUAUAGAGGCCGGUGCGAAGGGCCUCAUCUUCGCACAAUACACCGCCAACAAUCUUGACAGCCUGGUUGAAUGCGAGGGAUUUAUGCCUUGCACGCUGGUGGAUUUUGAGAUCGCACAUCGAAUUUUCUCCUACUGGGACAUGACUGACAAUCCGGUGGUGAAGGUGUUUCCGGCUGUAAGUGUUGUUGGAAAUGGGGUGUUGUCGCCAAGGGUCGCCUCGUUCUCGUCCAGAGGUCCAAGCCUAUUGUUCCCCGGCAUACUCAAGCCCGACAUUACUGCUCCUGGCGUCAACAUCUUGGCGGCGGUGCGCGGCUCCUAUGUGUUCUAUUCUGGGACAUCAAUGGCGUGCCCACAUGUCUCCGCAGUGACCGCGAUGCUCAAGUCGGUUCACUCUCAGUGGUCACCUGCCAUGAUCAAAUCGGCCAUUGUCACCACAGCAUCUGUGACCAAUCGUUUUGGCAUGCCAAUCCAAGCAGAAGCUGUCCCAAGGAAACUAGCCGACCCCUUCGACUUUGGUGGUGGACACAUUGACCCAGAUAGAGCCGUUGACCCUGGCUUAGUUUACGAUGUUGAUGCAAGGGAGUACAACAAGUUUUUCAACUGCACCGUUGGAUAUUUAGCUGGUUGUGAGUCCUACUACCUAAAUCUCAACCUCCCGUCAAUUGCCGUGCCAGACCUCAAGGACCAUGUCAUGCUUCGGCGCACCGUGACUAACGUUGGGCCAGAGGAAGCAACAUAUCAUUUAGUGGUUGAACCUCCAGCGGGGAUAGAUGUGUCCGUAGAGCCAUCUGUGAUCAAUUUCACCCAAAGCAGUAGUAAAAGCGUGACGUUUAUGGUGACAUUCACAACAAGGCAGAGAGUGCAAGGAGGAUACACUUUCGGGAGCUUGACAUGGUCAGACGGAAGUACCCACUCAGUGAGAAUUCCUAUUGCGGUACGGACUGUGAUACAAGACUUUGUUGCAGAUACAUCUUAA